This 1835-nucleotide long non-coding RNA is filed under the name Mytilus galloprovincialis (Mediterranean mussel). Lineage: Eukaryota; Metazoa; Mollusca; Bivalvia; Mytilida; Mytilidae. The record is from RNAcentral.
AUCCGUUUUCCAGCGUUGAGGACCCCACCACAUGGUAAACGACUAUUUCGUAAAUCUGGGAAGAUAAACACCAAAUACUGAACAAAGUGAGUGAAAUUAAAAUCCAUAUGUGGUCAGUUCAUACCGACAACUAAUUCUAAAACCUGGUACAACUGCAAUUUGUCUCUGAUAUAUGUAUAAAGUUCCCGGUGAUUUUAUAAUUCUUAUAAUUAGGCCAAACAAAAAACAUGCGUGUUCUGAACUUUUCUACAAACAUACCUUCCUAUUUUGUAAGCGAAAAAAAGCCUACAUGAAGUUUAAUUUUUCAAGACGCAGUGUUAAAGUUAUAAUGUCCCUCCCAUAGACUCGAUCAGUCUAUGUACAUGAUGUAUAUAAAAAAUUAUAAAAAUGGUUAAAUGGGAAAAAAAUUCCUACCUACAUGUACCUAUUAAAAUAUACCCUAUCUAUUCAAAGAUGUAUCAGGAAACACACUCACAUAUUUUUUAACCUAACAAUUCUGCCAUUUAUCAAUAAGAAAUCAGCUCUAACUUGUUGUCCUGGUUUUCUGUUGGUCUCUUAUUAAACUGGUUAGUAUAAAAUAUAUAUGUUCAAAAAAGUGAAAAUUGGAAAGAAAGGAGCAGAUAUUAAGAAAAGGAUCAAGGGUCGAUGUUGCCUCAACCUUCGGGUUAAUCUGAAUUGAUGAAAUAUUUUUGCCACUUUUAUAAAACACUUAAAUCUAAGUGUCCAUACAUUCAUAGACUUUUAAUAGUACAUUGUAAUAGUUGAUUCAAUUAAUUCAUAUGAAAGAUUUUAACUCAUUUAGCUAUUUAGCUGAAAUUCAAGCUUUGAUAUGAAACAAUUAUCAAAUAUGCCAUUAUAUGUCACUUUUGAGAUGGUUUUUGUCAAAAAUGAAAACGAGUGCAUCCAUGUUAAUUCUCAACCUCUAAAUAUGUUAUGUAAAAUGUAUUGCAGCUCGAGUUAUUAUUUCAAACUGGACAGUGUUCAGCGCCAAGUAUUACAAAGUGAUUGGAUCAGAUCAAAAGAUGUAAAUCUUGAAGCACACAUUUCAACAUACAUGACAUAUGACCUAUAGAAAAAAGAGAAUAAGGAAAGACAGUGAAAAACAGGAAAUAUUUGAAAGGGUAAGCAUGGUAAACAUUUCUUUUUAAAUACAAUGUAUAGUAAUAUUCUGAUGAUGAAAUAAAUUUAUUAUAAUUUCCAUAAGGAAAUAAGCAUACCUCAUUUUAUAUUUAUCAUGUUACAAAAAAUGAAAAUCUGCUUUAGACUCAAAUAAAUUUUAUAAAAUUUCAGAUAAAUAGUGUUUGAAGUAAACAUUUCAAAGAAAAUAUAAGUUUUGUAAUUGAGUACAAAGAGUCAAUUCAUAUAACAAAAGAUGGAUGUAUAAGUACACAGCCACACGUUGGGCUGACUGAGCUUUGAUUUUAUUUUUAAUCAAAUUUGGCAAAAAUAAAAAAAUACUUGUGGCAUGAUUGCCAAUGACAUGAGUGAGAUACAUUUGUACCAGACCAGUGCAUUAGAUGAGUCAUGAAAAGUGUCUCUUGUCCUCUACAUCAGGAAUACUGAUACAAGCAUUUUUUUAUUGAAAAAAACUUGCUUACAGAAUGUGGUUUAAAGUAUAUUUAUUUCUUGGUUUUAAUUUAUAUCAAUUUCUGGUACCUUUAUAAUAUACUUUUGAUAUAUCUCCAUUUGUUUUAUUUUAAUGUUUUAUAGAUACAGCUAUUAUUUCAUAUUGGACAAUGUUCAGCAGCAAGUAUUACAUUGUGAUUUGGAUCAGAUCAAAAGAUGUUUACAUUGAAGCAUACAUUCAGAACCAUAGAAUAAAAGAGAAAAGAAAU